Molecule: long non-coding RNA, 1882 nt
Filed under: Rattus norvegicus (Norway rat)
Lineage: Eukaryota; Metazoa; Chordata; Mammalia; Rodentia; Muridae
Description: long non-coding RNA NONRATT026999
Source: RNAcentral
GAGCCCAACUGACCACACAAGUAUUCCAUCCAACUGCUACAGUGCGCUGGGAUCCUAACCUGCCCUCUCUGGGAACCGGGGAAAUGUGUCCUAGAGCAAAUGUCACAUCCCAGACCCCAGCUGGUUUGUGCAUGUAUUCACAGCUGUCACUUUAUUUCUGUGCCAUUUGAAGGGGCAACCCCGAAAACGGACCCCCAAGUACUUUGUGCUCUUUCAGCUGCCUGUGUCUCUCUUCUUUGGCAUGUUUUCUAUAAGACUUUCUUUCAUAAACAGCAAAUGGACUGUUGUCGAGCCCAUCUCCUGGUUUGCACGGUGAAGGUGCUUAACGCCAGGAGCAGAGGCGGGGGCAAGCUCGAGGCUGUCUGGAGGCCAGGCCAGAGGCGGGGAGGAUGCGUGUUCUGCGGCAGCCCGAGGUCUGACUGGUAAGGAAAUAGAUCGGAGAUGGAUGGCUUUUCAUGCCUUUAUAGUUGGCCGUUUACAACUUUUCCUACUACGGCAGCCUUUUCUGCCAUAAUUCUUUGGAGGCAACAUAAUAUUUUGGAGUUUUAUGAAUUUGAUUUUAUACCAAUAAGAGAUCAAAGUUUUAGGGGUCUUUCCUGUAGUAUAUAGUUUUAGUCUUUUGAAGAGAUCUCUGGAUUUUAGGAGAGAACCAACUGUACUUGGUGGUAGACCUCCAAAAGGUGAUCUGGGGAGCCCUGCCCCCUCCUUUCUCUGCUCCCCACCCCUUCCCUUUGUAGGAUCUCAAAAAAGGAAAACAAGAAAAAAAGAGAUGAUUCUAGUUAUAGAUGUGUGUGGGUUUUGUUUUUGUUUUUUUAACCUUCCAUCAGGUUGACACUUAAGCUAUAUUUUAUAGAAUAAAUCCCCCUCUAGUAUGCUGCAUAUGAAUAUGAAGCUCAGAGCUGUUGCACUUUCUCUGUAAUCAAUGCCCUACAACUGGCUUGCCGGAAGCAUUUUCUUUUAACCUAACGUGUACUUUGGGCAGGUGAUGAAAUUACAUGGGUACCUCAAGUCAAGACCUGCGCGUGCUGCAUUUGGAUUUUUUAGUUUUGUUUUGUUUUGCUUUUCUAUGUAUCGUUAUGUUUUACUUUAUUUUGUUCCGGUAUUAUGCUUUUUGGACCCUAGUAGUCUGUUGGAAGAAAAACCUAAAAAGUUAGUAUCCUUGUUUUCUCGCCCCUACAGUAUGUGGUUCUAAAGGUCAUCCUCCAUUAGGAAUCUUUCCCCAAGCAUACCUGAGGAAAAGGGUACUUCGCUUCUCAGCGGGCCGUGCCAUUGAGAUCUUUUGUGUUCAUGCUGCUUCGAUUCCCUUCUCCAUAUCACCUAAGGGUGGGUACCUCCAUUGCAAAGUUGUGGCAUCUUAAUUUUUACACACAGACCUCAUGGAUGUCCAUUGAGGAAGUAGCAUGACCCUAAAGACACUGGCAGCCUGGCCUGGAGGUGGCGGCCUUCGCAGCUUUCUCUCUCAGCACUCAGCCACACUGACCUGGUCGGGCAGUCUGCAUGGACAGGACAGCUCAGCUGGUGAAGAAAGCCGGAUGCUCAGACACUGCACGUCUCCUGUCCUGAUUAAGCUUAGCUGGGUCCUUUCUAGUCUGUUUUCACAGCUUCCUAGGUUAAAUAGUUUGCACUAUUUUUGCAAUAAAUCCAUGGGAAACCUAACAGCUACUUAUGUUGUUGUUCUUACUGUGUGUAUAAACUAACACUAAAGGUUUGGAAUAGUGUUUUUUUUUUUCCUCCCACCUCAUGUAGCCCCUUAACAUGCACAGAAUGCUGUAAAUCUGAUAUAUGAUGUGAAUGAUAUUUUAUAAAGUUAUUUUGUAUGGUGUCGAUUUGUUUUGCCGCAUAGUAUGUCAGCAAGAAAUAAAAUAAAAUUCCUUGUAUUUAC